AUUGAACGCUGGCGGCAGGCCUAACACAUGAAAGUCGAACGAGUGGCGGACGGGUGAGUAAUGUCUGGGAAACUGCCUGAUGGAGGGGGAUAACUACUGGAAACGGUAGCUAAUACCGCAUACCAUCGGAUGUGCCCCAAUGGGAUUAGCUUGUUGGUGGGGUAACUGCUCACCAAGGCGACGAUCCCUCGCUGGUCUGCGAGGAUGACCCGCCACACUGUAACUGAGACACGGUCCAGACUCCUACGGUAGGCAGCAGUGGGUAAUAGUGCACAAUGGGCGCAAGCCUGAUGCAGCCAUGCCGCGUGUAUGAAGAAGGCCUUCGGGUUGUAAAGUACUUUCAGCGGGGAGGCGUUACCCGCAGAAGAAGCACCGGCUAACUCCGUGCCAGCAGCCGCGGUAAUAC
RNAcentral lists this ribosomal RNA (406 nucleotides) under uncultured bacterium. RNAcentral's name for it is "partial 16S ribosomal RNA". It matches the Rfam family "Bacterial small subunit ribosomal RNA", at positions 30 to 526 of the family's 1533-position model. The record is from RNAcentral.